This 262-nucleotide unclassified non-coding RNA is filed under the name Rhizoplaca sp. RNAcentral describes it as "partial contains small subunit ribosomal RNA, internal transcribed spacer 1, and 5.8S ribosomal RNA". The stretch from base 1 to 46 matches the Rfam family "Eukaryotic small subunit ribosomal RNA", at positions 1786 to 1831 of the family's 1831-position model. Lineage: Eukaryota; Fungi; Ascomycota; Lecanoromycetes; Lecanorales; Lecanoraceae. The record is from RNAcentral.
AAGUCGUAACAAGGUUUCCGUAGGUGAACCUGCGGAAGGAUCAUUAGAGAGAAGCGGGCCUCGCGCCCGUGGGGCCUCCGGCCCCGACUCUUCACCCUGUGUAUACUUACCAUUGUUGCUUUGGCGGGUCUGGGGCGUCUGCCCCCGCUGGCCUCAUCGCCGGCGCGUGCCCGUCAGAGGCCCUCAUCACUCUGAUUCUCCAUGCAGUCUGAGCAAACACAUCAAUACAGCAAAACUUUCAACAACGGAUCUCUUGGUUCUG